Molecule: long non-coding RNA, 2094 nt
Filed under: Homo sapiens (human)
Lineage: Eukaryota; Metazoa; Chordata; Mammalia; Primates; Hominidae
Description: HSALNT0397785
Source: RNAcentral
CCCGCAGCCGCCGCGUCGCCGCCAUUUUUUAAAGGGUCCGCAGCCUGACUCUGCGGAGUAAGGGGGGCUGGAGCGGGGGGAGUCGGCCUCGCCAGUGCGCAUGCGCGAGGCCCAAGCCGCCGCUUGGGUCAAAGUGAAAGCCACCGUUGCCCGGGGAUGGGUCCCUGACACUUGGCGAAGUAGGAGCCCUGUGUGAUCGUGCGUCUGAGUCUGGGCUGAGACCAGUCCUGGCCAGGGCAGUUACCAGGACGGUCUCCGGAGGCCGGGAUUCGCGGAGGGUCCACCAGCAGGAAGAAACCCCAAGAGGAAGAAACCUCAGACAGAUCGCCGGCGAGGCAGCGCGGGAUCCCAGCCUCAGGCGUGCGCGGACGGUGUGCGGGUGGAAACCCCCUUCCCAUGGGGUGAAGCGCAGUCUGCUCCAGAGACCCACUGUUAGGGUCGGGGAUGUCACAGAAAUUAACAGGGCAGCCAAUUCCCAUCCAGAGGGGCCCAGGAUGACCCCGAACCCUCUAGCUCAGCCCCAAGCUCGGGCCAGGGAGUGAAGCCUUUGUCCCCAAGCAACAGAGUGAGGGUCUGUCUCUAACCCGGUGGGCUCCAGUGAAAGGAAAAUGGCCUGGAGGUGCCCACAGGAGGGCGCCCUAGUUCUGAGACAGGUCUACGGCUCCCAGACUGUGUCCCCAUGAGUAACAGAGGGACACGCAGAGGGGCAUACUGAGUGCCUAUAGGGGACUCACAGACUGCAGAUGCACGCUGCGGAUCCAGAAGCCGGUCAGGUAAUGAGGUGCAGAGGUGUGGGGAAGACCUGGGUGCCUCCCUGGGUGCCAACCAGCCUAACCAGCCGGGGCCACCAAACAGAAGUGCUUCUGACAUUAACGCGACACACAGAAGGUGUGUAGGGUGGGUAGUGGAAGUGACCGCAGAGGCCUCUGGGGAUUGUAGUUUUGGAGCUAGAGAGGCAGGCAAGCAGUUGGGUUCGCCCACACGGUGUGCCUCUCACAUCUGCACAGCGCACACAACCAAGCUUAGGAGCCGACUGUUAAGAUGCCCCAGUGACACGGACAAGUUUCUCCUCUGCAACCCAAUGAGAGCUGCUGACCACGAGAGCAUCGCGGGACCGCCAAAGGAUUCUGGAAAAUGUGGUCCCGGGUGGCCAGUGUGCGCUGACCUUCACCUGAAGGUGAGCUGAGCUCACCAUGCAAGUCUCCACCCUGGGGUGCCCUUCCCCAAGCAGAUGCCAGGUUGGGGCAGAAGCAGUUCAGGGAGAAGCGAUGCGCUCCUGGGACUGCCGGUUUGGGGGCAACAUCGGCCCUGUGUCCCCUAGAGUAGGAGGGUGUACCAGGAUGGGGAACCCCAAGGCCGUUUUCAGGGAGAACAAGAUUGGCUUGAGGCAAACUCCCGGAAUGGAGAUGGGGAGAGUCUGGUCGCAUUUCCCCAGGAGUUUAGGGGAUGAAGGCUGGACUUGGGUGAACAGCAAAAGAUCCCCUGGUGAUAGUGGUGGUGAGGAUCAGAGGCUUGAGCCAGAAAUUCCCGAGGUGUUUGUUUGUUUUGUUUUUUUUGAGACAGAGUCUUGAUCUGUCUCCCAGGAUGUAGUGCAAUGGCAUGCUCUUGGCUCAUUGCAACCUCCGCCUCCCAGGUUCAAGCGAUUCUCCUGCCUCAGCCUCCCAAGUAGCUGAGAUUAUAGGCACCUGCCACUGUGCCCACCUAAAUUUUUUUUGUUUUUUUGUAUUUUUAGUAGAGACGAUGUUUCACCACAUUGCCCAGCCUGGUCUCGAACUCCUGACCUCAAGUGAUCCACCUGCCUCGGCCUCCCAAAGUGCUGGGAUUACAGGCAUGAGCCCCCACACCCAGCUCAUUUUUAUCUUUUAACUUAAAGGUUUUUAUUUUUCUCUAUUUUUACUCUUACAGGUACGGCUUGAAGGAAACUUCUGGAGGGUGGGGUGGUGUUGAAGAGAAGGCACAAUUGUCACCAUUUUGUUCAACAUGGGCGUUUUCUUUGUGCAUUGAUUUGCAUUUUUAAAGGAACUCCUCCUCAAAACAGAAGAAGCCUAUAAGACUUUAACCUGGAAACUACUCAGGGAAUCUGGAAUAUUCCUU